GGCACACCUGGGGUCACCCCAAAGGUCACGGCUGCUCCCCAGCCCCUCCCCCAUGCCCCAGGUGGCGCCAGGUGAGCUCAGGCACCGGCACAGGUGUGCCCGGGUAGCUCCAGGUGUGCCCAGGUUCCCCCCAGGUACCCCCAGGUGUGCCCAGGUACCCCCCGUGGGACCUCAGGUGACCCCUGGAGCUCCCAGGUGUGCCCGGGUACCCCCCAGGUGUGCCCUUAGGAGCACUCAGGUGUGCCCAGGUACCCCCAGGUGUGCCCAGGUGCCCCUGGGGCAAUCACAGCUCUAUCCCAGGAGCUCCCAGGUGUGCCCGGCUCUACCUGAGGUGCCCCCAGGUGUUCCCAGGUGUGUCCUGAACAGCACUCAGGUGUAUCCAGGUGCCCCGGGUGUGCCCAGGUCCACCUGAGGUGCCCCCAGGUGUAUCCCAGGUGUGUCCCAGAGGCCCCUGGGGUGCUCACAGAUGUAGCCCAGGUGCCCCCAGGUCUAUCUGAGGUGGCCCCAGGUCUACCCCAGGUGCCCCCA
Molecule: long non-coding RNA, 528 nt
Organism: Passer montanus (Eurasian tree sparrow)
Lineage: Eukaryota; Metazoa; Chordata; Aves; Passeriformes; Passeridae
Exons: 3
Source: RefSeq, a predicted model, not a curated record